GGUGUUGUGGCUCAGUGGUAGAGUGCUUGCCUAGCAUUUGCAAGGAAGGCCCUGGGUUCGAUCCUUAGCACCA
This 73-nucleotide transfer RNA is filed under the name Ictidomys tridecemlineatus (thirteen-lined ground squirrel). RNAcentral describes it as "Spermophilus tridecemlineatus (thirteen-lined ground squirrel) tRNA". It matches the Rfam family "tRNA". Rfam says of the family: Transfer RNA (tRNA) molecules are approximately 80 nucleotides in length. Their secondary structure includes four short double-helical elements and three loops (D, anti-codon, and T loops). Further hydrogen bonds mediate the characteristic L-shaped molecular structure. tRNAs have two regions of fundamental functional importance: the anti-codon, which is responsible for specific mRNA codon recognition, and the 3' end, to which the tRNAs corresponding amino acid is attached (by aminoacyl-tRNA synthetases). tRNAs cope with the degeneracy of the genetic code in two manners: having more than one tRNA (with a specific anti-codon) for a particular amino acid; and 'wobble' base-pairing, i.e. permitting non-standard base-pairing at the 3rd anti-codon position. Lineage: Eukaryota; Metazoa; Chordata; Mammalia; Rodentia; Sciuridae. The record is from Rfam by way of RNAcentral.